RNAcentral lists this transfer-messenger RNA (285 nucleotides) under Alphaproteobacteria bacterium HGW-Alphaproteobacteria-14. It matches the Rfam family "Alphaproteobacteria transfer-messenger RNA". From Rfam's summary of the family: Bacterial tmRNA, also known as 10Sa RNA or SsrA, is named for its dual tRNA and mRNA-like properties. Its role is to liberate the mRNA from a stalled ribosome. To accomplish this part of the tmRNA is used as a reading frame that ends in a translation stop signal. The record is from RNAcentral. Lineage: Bacteria; Pseudomonadati; Pseudomonadota; Alphaproteobacteria.
CCACUUCACAUUCAGGAUUGGCGCGCUAUAUCGGCGGUGUCGGGCAACCGACUAUGGCGAUAAAUUGCUGCGUGCAAUAGAUGCAACGGACCCGGGGGCAGUACCCGGCGGCUCCACCAGAAACGGCGACUAUUCGCCAGUUCUGAUGGGGCGCAUAAGGCUCAAAAACCAUAAGUGCCAACGAUAACGAAGCACUCGCAAUCGCUGCGUAAUUGAUGGGCUAACGCCCUGAUAUUAUUAGGCUAAAAAGCGCGGUUGGACCGACCGGGCAACAGAACGGAUACC